This 74-nucleotide transfer RNA is filed under the name Planctomycetota bacterium. RNAcentral's name for it is "Planctomycetes bacterium tRNA-Arg". It matches the Rfam family "tRNA". From Rfam's summary of the family: Transfer RNA (tRNA) molecules are approximately 80 nucleotides in length. Their secondary structure includes four short double-helical elements and three loops (D, anti-codon, and T loops). RNAcentral also lists the same sequence under 1 other name. The record is from RNAcentral. Lineage: Bacteria; Pseudomonadati; Planctomycetota.
GCGCCUGUAGCUUAAUUGGAUAGAGCAUCGGUCUACGGAACCGAAGGUUGCAGGUUCGAGUCCUGCCAGGCGCG